Molecule: long non-coding RNA, 698 nt
Filed under: Crocodylus porosus (Australian saltwater crocodile)
Lineage: Eukaryota; Metazoa; Chordata; Crocodylia; Crocodylidae
Description: lncRNA (ENSCPRG00005005878.1)
Source: RNAcentral
CGGCAACACCGGAAGUCCCCCAGUCCUCCUCCCCCCGCUUUUUUUUUUUCCGGACUGCGUUCCACCCGGUGGCAACGUUAUGGCUUGGCGCAUGCGCUAGGACCGGCUCGGUGCGUGGCAGUGCCUGUGAGCGGCGGGGGGGAGGAGCCAGCCUCCCUCUCUCUCCGCCCCCCUUCCCCCUCCCUCUAGCCGCUCUGGCUGCUGUAGCAGCUGCGUCUGGGGAGGAACGUCCCGCGUGGAAAUCCCCCUAGCCCCGGCUCCUCCCUCCCGCCCACCCCGGGAUGGAACAGCCUGGCAGCCGCUGCAAGAAGGUCAAGCUGAGCAACAGGGCGCAAAGCUGGCCCUAAAGCUAAAGAAUCAGUUUGUUGGAUGUAGUGGAACAUGUCAGGUCUGGAGAAGGAUGAAGCAAACAAGCUAAUGUUAAGAAACAGAAACUGAGGUAACUUUCCAUUUCUUAGGUCAGUGGUGCCAGAUCUCCUGAGGCUCCAGUAAGUCAUUUGUUGUUGCUCCAGUUUAAGGUAGCUCAGGCUGCCCAGUGAUAAUUGGUAAGCUGUAUGCUUGGUUGAAUUUGUGUUGCAACUGCUUCCUUGUUAUGCCAAAGUAAGAGUAAAUUCAUCAGCAGCUCCUUGAUAAAGUGCGUCUGUUCAGAGCUGUUCACGAGAUCCGUCCAGCCCCUCUUUAAAGAGAUAGAGAUCUUU